AAUCUUCGACAAUGGGCGAAAGCCUGAUCCAGCCACGCCGCGUGUGUGAAGAAGGUUUUCGGAUCGUAAAACUCUGUAAGAUGGGAUGAAGAGUUGUUGUCUUAUCUCCCUCUACUUUGACGUUACCUUCUGACAAAGCCCCGUCUAACUCUGUGCCAGCAGCCGCGGUAAUACUUAGGUUGCAAGCGUUUUACGGAAUUAUUGGGCGUAAAGCGCGCGUAGGUGGUUCAGUAAGAAUGAUGUGAAAGCCCAGGGCUAAACCGGGGAAGGGCAUUGAAAACUGGGGAGCAAGAGUACAGAAGAGGAAAGUGGAAUUUCAAGUGUAGCGGUGAAAUGCGUAGAGAUAGGGAGGAACACCAGUGGCGAAGGCGACUAUCUGGACUGAAACUGACACUGAGGUGCGAAAGCGUGGGGAGCAAAC
Molecule: ribosomal RNA, 421 nt
Filed under: uncultured bacterium
Lineage: Bacteria
Description: partial 16S ribosomal RNA
Rfam family: Bacterial small subunit ribosomal RNA
Source: RNAcentral